AAAGCUUCGGGGGACGGAUAGGGCGGCGCGGGCACAAACCUGGGACCGGGGGGUGGGCUUCGCCAACCGGCUCCAGCAACCCGCCGCUGGGGAGUAUUUCCCAGAAAGCUCGGGGGCGUUCCGAGGCUGCAUCCAAUCGCGGGGGCGCCCGGAGCGUGCAUCUGGGGGGGGGGGGCGCCCUCCUCGCAAGCGCCGCUGCUGUAGCUUUCGACCCAGAUAAGCUUGUUUUGGGAGAGAUCCUGCCCUUCCCAGGAAACCAAGUUUGAAGGUCUCGCGCAUUGCGGUUGCCUCAGGCGUGUUAUGGUGACGCGCGGGCGCGUGUACACACUGGAGAUUAAACGGUACGUAUGUGGUGCGCAGAGGGAAGGCUGCGGUGCUUGCCAGGUUGCGGAUCGGGGAUUUGAAGGGCGAGGUUCAGCCCCCCCUUGCGUUUCUUUUCUUAAGAGCCCCACGGAGCUCAGUCCCAAAUAAACUUAUCUGAGAUUGGGGUGUUAAGGGGUUUUGGGGAGAAAUAAAGUUAGACCAUCUUCCGGUGGUGCUCUCAGGGUUAGGGGGCCCACCUCAGCAGAAUAAGUAGGAUGGUCCCCCAAAUGCUGUAGCAUUUGCGAAGAGGUGAAGUAAUAAUGAACGUUACCGUCUAAAAUGGGAGAGCUAUUAAACCAGUAAGUCCGACUGCACCACUACCUCCCUCCAGCUUGUGAGACUUACUAGGUAGGAAGUGUCAUAAAAUACAGUGGGCCUAAGACUAGUAAACAUGUACAAGAUUGCUCUGCUUGUCUGUUGCAGAAAAAAAUAAAAAAGCUCGCAAAAAAUGCCUUGUAAUUAGCACCUUGGUAGUGAACAGAACACCAUAGCCUGGCGUGCUAUGGUCCAUGGGGUCACAAAGAGUCGGACACGACUAAACAACUAAACAACAAGUGAACAGAUUUAUUUUAGCAUAUCCUUUGGUGGGUUAGAGUCCACUUAAUCAGAUGCAUGAAGUGGCAAAGCAGGCUUGGUUUCAUAAAAAACGUAUACCACAACAAAUCUGAUGGUCUUUAAACCGUCCAAAUGUUCUUGGAUUACAACUCAUCAGCCAGCAUAACCAGUGGUCAAGUGUAAUGAGGCUUGUAGUCAUAUCCAUUUGCAGCAUUGCUAGAAUGAAGGGUGACUGUGACCCCCACACUUAUUCAUGCUUGGCUUAGUAUUAUAUGUGAACCAGCCCAGUGUAUCUGUUGGUAUAGAGAGACUAGACAGAAAAGGUCUGGGUUAGUGGUUCUGUCCAAAUAGUAGAGAGAGCCCAUUGUUUUUCUUUAUUGUUUGCUUGUCAUGCUGCCUGUGUUUCAAAAGUAGGCCUUCAAAUGUUAACCAUUACUUUUUAAAAUUGGGGCCUCAGGGACUAAUGUAAAGUGAGAACAGCCAGUUUCCAUGUUCUCCAGGCUGCUCUGUUUUUGUGACACUGGUCUGGAAAAUUUGCAUCACUUAGCAGCAAGGGGUGGGAAGAAUGUUUUCCCAUUUUGCAUCUUCCUCCGUACAGUGGAUCCAAUCAUGGCACAUCAGUUUGGCCAAUGAUAUUAAAAUGAAAAUAAAAUCAAUGCCAACUUAAUCUACAUCAACUAAAAUGAGAAGGAAACCUCAGGCUUCAUCUUUGGCAAGUCUACAGCCAAAAUGAGAAUACUGAAAGCCAUUGUGAUCUUACACACCAGAUUAGUACUGUUAAUUAUCAGCAUGAACACUGCAAUUGAUUUGUCAAACUAUAAGUUAGAAAGUGGAAGCAGAAAAUUUAUGAAACUAGUACCUAGGCCAGCUGAAAUACUUUCAACAAAAGGUUUGGACUCAUGAAGGUAACUAUAUAUGGCAGGUGGGUUGUGUUGUGCGGUUGCAGUGGUCUACCUUUGUAAGCAUACAGUAUAUGAGAAAUGACAUUGAACUCUAGAAGGAGGGGCAGGGAAUGUGAAUAGAAAUUCUUUGUGAUAAUAUUCUACAGAAACAAGUGGGAGAGGUGGACAAACAAUAAUGGUACAUGUGCAUUUCUCCCAAAGUCAGCUCUUUCAGUCAGAAGCCACACCAGUGUUCUCUAAAAUGUAUUUUCAUUUACAGUUUAUUAUUCCUUAAGUCACAUGCCUGUUUAUAGGCUGAAUAUCAGGCACUGUGAGUAGAGCUCAUAAUAGGUAAAGGUAAAGGUGCCCCUGACCAUCAGGUCCAGUCGUGUCCGACUCUGGGGUUGCGCCGCUCAUCUCGCUCUAUAGGCCGAGGGAGCCAGCGUUUGUCCGCAGACAGCUUCCGGGUCAUGUGGCCAGCAUGACAAAGCUGCUUCUGGCAAACCAGAGCAGCACACGGAAACGCCGUUUACCUUCCCGCCAGAGCGGUCCCUAUUUAUCUACUUGCACUUUGAUGUGCUUUCGAACUGCUAGGUGGGCAGGAGCUGGGACCGAGCAACGGGAGCUCACCCCGUUGCAGGGAUUCGAACCGCCGACCUUCUUAUCAGCAAGCCCUAGACUCUGUGGUUUAACCCACAUCGCCACCUGGGUCCCUUACAGAGCUCAUAAUAGACCUCUACUGUACUAUUCAGCAAGAGCCUGUUGCUGUCUCAAACCCAUUGAAAGGAAUGUAAACUAUGGCUUGCUUGCUGCCUGCAUAUGAAAACAUUAGUUUGGUCACAGAAUUUUCCCAUCCUUUUAAAAACACGAUGCAAAAAUAUCCCAACUUCACUGGAAUUAGGAACCAGCCAGCUUUUACUCAAUACUAGCUAAGAAGUCCAUAGUCCAUUAUAGGGUUGCCUUUGCACUUUGCCCAAGGCACUUAUACCUGUUUUUGUUUCUGUGCCAAUAUUUAGAACUCGUGUUGUACACUCUACUGCAGCAGUUUCCUUUUAUGCAAUGCAUUGCACUUUUACAAGCAUAUGCACUCUAGUUGUUUACGUAAUUGCUGCAUUUUAUAUAAUCUCUUGUAACAUGGUGUACUACCUAUGCAUUAAAGAAGCAAGUUAUAAUUUAUACACCCAACGAUGCAAAUAAUUUUAAAACUUGUAAAGAAUAAAGUUAAAUGAUAUACUGUAUGUUAUAUUAAUUUUGCUGAUUUUGAUAUUGUUAUUUGUUUCUUUUAUUAUUUGUUUGUAUACCUGUUUAUUUGUAGUUUGUUUUUCUUCCUUUUGUUUUAUAAAUGUAUUUAAAACAAUAAAGAUAUAUUCUGGAAGAAGCGAAGUUAUGUAUGUUGUGUUACUGGAUGCUACUUUCAAACGUUUCCUAACAAUCUUCAAGAAAAAAUAUAUUAAAAAAUACCGUCUUAGGUGAGUGGACCAAGUCAACUACAUCCGUAUUCCAAGGUACUGCACACAAGCAUGGUGCUGACACCACCAAGGUUGCAGGUUAAUUCCCAUAAGGGACAGGUGCACAUUCCUGCAUUGCAGGGGGUUGGACUAGAUCAGGCAUCCCCAAACUGCGGCCCUCCAGAUGUUUUGGCCUACAACUCCCAUGAUCCUUAGCUAACAGGACCAGUGGUCGGGGAAGAUGGGAAUUGUAGUCCAAAACAUCUGGAGGGCCGAAGUUUGGGGAUGCCUGGACUAGAUGAUCCUCAGGGUUGCUUCCAACUCCGAUUCUGUGAUCUUAACUGUAUACAAUCAAUGCAGGUUUACAAUUGGCUCUGCAAGCAGCGCAUAGCCAGCAUAAUGCGCCUUAAACUUUGGAGCCAGGCUUGAGCCUGUAACUAGUUGUAGAUAUUCUUCAUAGGCGUAUUGGAGUCAUGCCUUUAACUUGCCAGAAGCUAAAGAUGAAGCAAGGAGACACACAAACACUCCCCAGCCAUUUUCCCUAGUUUGUCUUCAUGGUGUUAAAACCUUGUUAGUAGUUUUCCUAAAUCAGACCAUUGCUUCACCCAUCUACUGGUACUCUAAUUUGCAGCAAACAAACCCAAAUUGCAACACUGUUAAGUGCAUCCAUGCCUAUUAAAGAAAGACUGUGGGAAAAUAUGCAGUCCAUGCACUACUAGUGAAUUUGGCUCUAGGAAGUUACAUCUAACAAAAUUGCUGCAUUUUAAUUACCUGGAGCAGCUUGCAGGAAACAUUUAGCUCACUUUACAUUCCCUGUCACUUGAGGAACUAUAGUGCAAUUAUUUUGCUUCAUGAAGGUCACAAAACAGACAAGAUAUCAAACGGCACCAAUCUGGGUUCAAAUUAGAAUUUUUCAUCCAUUUAAGGUUAUGCCACUUUGGUUCGGCCAUCACACUUUACUAUAUCCAUUUUUUUCUACUUCAUAUUUGGGAGGCAAGGGCCAGUAUAAUAUUGUGUAUGCAAUGCAUGUGUUACAUGGACUGCUUUUUCUGCCAUGGCCAUCACUCUUUAAAGCAGGGGUGGAAAACCUGCUGGAGGAUUUCAGCUGCCCUGUAUUCUAAAUAUAUUUAAAUAGGUCUGUCAUAUACAGUAUCCAGAAAUCCCUGGACAUAGCUGGGAUUAGUCUGUUGAAAAUGGUGUCUAAGCGGAUUUUUUUCCCAGCGGUUAAAAUGUAUGGGAAAACCUGGGCAUAUGGCAGCCUAUAUUGGAAGGGUUGGUUUUUUUGCUGAUUUUCCUAAAAUAAAUAGCAA
Molecule: non-coding RNA, 4557 nt
Organism: Zootoca vivipara (common lizard)
Lineage: Eukaryota; Metazoa; Chordata; Lepidosauria; Squamata; Lacertidae
Source: RefSeq, a predicted model, not a curated record